RNAcentral lists this ribosomal RNA (1462 nucleotides) under uncultured organism. RNAcentral's name for it is "SSU rRNA". It matches the Rfam family "Bacterial small subunit ribosomal RNA". The record is from RNAcentral.
UGAACGCUGGCGGCAGGCCUAACACAUGCAGGUCGAGCGGUAGCACAGAGAGCUUGCUCUCGGGUGACGAGCGGCGGACGGGUGAGUAAUGUCUGGGAAACUGCCUGAUGGAGGGGGAUAACUACUGGAAACGGUAGCUAAUACCGCAUAAUGUCGCAAGACCAAAGUGGGGGACCUUCGGGCCUCAUGCCAUCAGAUGUGCCCAGAUGGGAUUAGCUAGUAGGUGGGGUAACGGCUCACCUAGGCGACGAUCCCUAGCUGGUCUGAGAGGAUGACCAGCCACACUGGAACUGAGACACGGUCCAGACUCCUACGGGAGGCAGCAGUGGGGAAUAUUGCACAAUGGGCGCAAGCCUGAUGCAGCCAUGCCGCGUGUGUGAAGAAGGCCUUCGGGUUGUAAAGCACUUUCAGCGGGGAGGAAGGCGGUGAGGUUAAUAACCUCACCGAUUGACGUUACCCGCAGAAGAAGCACCGGCUAACUCCGUGCCAGCAGCCGCGGUAAUACGGAGGGUGCAAGCGUUAAUCGGAAUUACUGGGCGUAAAGCGCACGCAGGCGGUCUGUCAAGUCGGAUGUGAAAUCCCCGGGCUCAACCUGGGAACUGCAUUCGAAACUGGCAGGCUAGAGUCUUGUAGAGGGGGGUAGAAUUCCAGGUGUAGCGGUGAAAUGCGUAGAGAUCUGGAGGAAUACCGGUGGCGAAGGCGGCCCCCUGGACAAAGACUGACGCUCAGGUGCGAAAGCGUGGGGAGCAAACAGGAUUAGAUACCCUGGUAGUCCACGCCGUAAACGAUGUCGAUUUGGAGGUUGUGCCCUUGAGGCGUGGCUUCCGGAGCUAACGCGUUAAAUCGACCGCCUGGGGAGUACGGCCGCAAGGUUAAAACUCAAAUGAAUUGACGGGGGCCCGCACAAGCGGUGGAGCAUGUGGUUUAAUUCGAUGCAACGCGAAGAACCCUACCUGGUCUUGACAUCCACAGAACUUUCCAGAGAUGGAUUGGUGCCUUCGGGAACUGUGAGACAGGUGCUGCAUGGCUGUCGUCAGCUCGUGUUGUGAAAUGUUGGGUUAAGUCCCGCAACGAGCGCAACCCUUAUCCCUUGUUGCCAGCGGUCCGGCCGGGAACUCAAAGGAGACUGCCAGUGAUAAACUGGAGGAAGGUGGGGAUGACGUCAAGUCAUCAUGGCCCUUACGACCAGGGCUACACACGUGCUACAAUGGCAUAUACAAAGAGAAGCGACCUCGCGAGAGCAAGCGGACCUCAUAAAGUAUGUCGUAGUCCGGAUUGGAGUCUGCAACUCGACUCCAUGAAGUCGGAAUCGCUAGUAAUCGUAGAUCAGAAUGCUACGGUGAAUACGUUCCCGGGCCUUGUACACACCGCCCGUCACACCAUGGGAGUGGGUUGCAAAAGAAGUAGGUAGCUUAACCUUCGGGAGGGCGCUUACCACUUUGUGAUUCAUGACUGGGGUGAA